UUCAUUUGAAAAUGAAUUUUGAAGUAGUUUUGAUCCAAAUCUUUGUGCUUACCAAAUGAAAUUAUUAUGUAGGCUAAUGGAUGCUUUCAAUGGAGUGUGUACAACACCAUUUCCUUAUUCACAAAAGUAAAGGAGUAAAGAGUAAUAGUAAAGAGAAAGUAAAAAGG
Molecule: non-coding RNA, 167 nt
Organism: Danio rerio (zebrafish)
Lineage: Eukaryota; Metazoa; Chordata; Actinopteri; Cypriniformes; Danionidae
Source: Rfam